UAUAUACCCCUAUUGCAAAUUCAGAAUCAUUCUUUUGACAGGGGAGAACGGCCAGACCUAAUUUUGCUCUCUAGAGAGGAUCUCUUGGAUGCUUAGGCUUCUUUUCAUCUUUUCUAGGGUUUGCUCUUCCAUUUUUCUUCCAUUUUUCAUCUAGUUUCACCAUGUCUAUGGUGAACUAAACCCUAUUGUUGUUGGGGAAAACAAUGUAAUCUUUUGAUACUCUCUCUUAUUGAAAUUAUUGAUUAUUUAUAUGGUUUCCAUAUGUUUCGAUUGAUUAUUGUUGGGUUAUCAUCUAUGCUUAAGGCCUUUAUCGUUUAACUCAUUCGGUAUAUUGAUGUUUGUCUUUAUUGAUAUAGGGACGUACAGUAAUGACAUGAACUGGUGAGUAAUCUCUUGAUUUUGCAAUACCACCUAGGGAUAGGGGUAGGACGAUUAAUUGCGCUAACUUCUGUUUAUAAUGCGGUAUUAAUUACUAGGGGAGGCUAGGGAUAGCAAGCCAGUAGUUAAUAUUAGGCCCUUUUCACCGAGGGAUCGGGUUGAGGGGAGGCUAAGAAAGUCGCAUAACAAUUGAAUCAAUCAACUAAUAUUCAAGGGUAGUAUGUGAGAGAGAGUGGAAUAGAUGAAAUUGUUAGUACCCAACAACAUCCAUUCAUCCAUUGUUUUCGUUUGUCAAUUGAAUCAACUUUAUUUUUGCAUGUUAAUAUUUUUGUUCUCAAAUCCAGUUUAUUAAUUUUUAUUUCUCAAGUCUUAUUAUUUUAAUUCACGCGAAUGAGGAAGCCAUACGAGUCUCUUGGGAAAACGAUAUUUGGUCUUACCAUUUAUAUUACUUGU
Molecule: long non-coding RNA, 831 nt
Filed under: Vigna radiata
Lineage: Eukaryota; Viridiplantae; Streptophyta; Magnoliopsida; Fabales; Fabaceae
Description: long non-coding RNA (VRAD_LNC005163)
Source: RNAcentral